AACGAACGCUGGCGGCAUGCCUAACACAUGCAAGUCGAACGAGACCUCCCGGCCUAGUGGCGCACGGGUGCGUAACGAGUGGGAACCUACCCUUAGGUUAGCAAUAACUCACCGAAAGGGGUGCUAAGACCGCAUAAUGUCAUCGGACAAAAGAUCUACCGCUUUUGGAUGGGCCCGCGUAGGAUUGGCCAGUUGGUAGGGUAAAAGCCUACCAACGCGACGAUCCUUGGCUGGUGGGGUACGAGGAUCAGCCACACUGGGGCUGAGACACGGCCCAGACUCCGACGGAGGGCAGCGGUGGGGAAUAUUAGACGAUGGGCGAAGGCCUAGUCCAGCAGUGCCGCGUGAGUGAUGAAGGGCUUAGGGUUGUAAAGCUCUUUUACCCGGGAUGAUAAUGACAGUACCGGGUGAAUAAGCACCGGCUAACUCCGUG
Molecule: ribosomal RNA, 433 nt
Filed under: uncultured bacterium
Lineage: Bacteria
Description: partial 16S ribosomal RNA
Rfam family: Bacterial small subunit ribosomal RNA
Source: RNAcentral